GUGCUCACUUUGGCAGCAUGUAUACUAAAAUGGAAUGACAAAGAGAAGAUUAGCAUGGCCACUGAUCAAGGAUGACACACAAAUUGUGAAGUGUUCCAUAUUAAA
This is a small nuclear RNA of Myotis lucifugus (little brown bat), 105 nucleotides long. The record is from Ensembl. NCBI's taxonomy places the organism in Eukaryota, Metazoa, Chordata, Mammalia, Chiroptera, Vespertilionidae.